GCCGACAUAGCUCAGCGGUAGAGCAACUGUUUUGUAAACAGUAGGUCGGGUGUUCAAAUCACCCUGUCGGCUC
RNAcentral lists this transfer RNA (73 nucleotides) under Parcubacteria group bacterium ADurb.Bin247. Its description in RNAcentral is "tRNA-Thr". It matches the Rfam family "tRNA". From Rfam's summary of the family: Transfer RNA (tRNA) molecules are approximately 80 nucleotides in length. Their secondary structure includes four short double-helical elements and three loops (D, anti-codon, and T loops). Further hydrogen bonds mediate the characteristic L-shaped molecular structure. tRNAs have two regions of fundamental functional importance: the anti-codon, which is responsible for specific mRNA codon recognition, and the 3' end, to which the tRNAs corresponding amino acid is attached (by aminoacyl-tRNA synthetases). tRNAs cope with the degeneracy of the genetic code in two manners: having more than one tRNA (with a specific anti-codon) for a particular amino acid; and 'wobble' base-pairing, i.e. permitting non-standard base-pairing at the 3rd anti-codon position. The record is from RNAcentral.